This 483-nucleotide ribosomal RNA is filed under the name uncultured bacterium. Its description in RNAcentral is "partial 16S ribosomal RNA". It matches the Rfam family "Bacterial small subunit ribosomal RNA", at positions 30 to 506 of the family's 1533-position model. The record is from RNAcentral.
AUUGAACGCUGGCGGCAGGCCUAACACAUGCAAGUCGAGCGGAUGAAGGGAGCUUGCUCCUGGAUUCAGCGGCGGACGGGUGAGUAAUGCCUAGGAAUCUGCCUGGUAGUGGGGGAUAACGUCCGGAAACGGGCGCUAAUACCGCAUACGUCCUGAGGGAGAAAGUGGGGGAUCUUCGGACCUCACGCUAUCAGAUGAGCCUAGGUCGGAUUAGCUAGUUGGUGGGGUAAAGGCCUACCAAGGCGACGAUCCGUAACUGGUCUGAGAGGAUGAUCAGUCACACUGGAACUGAGACACGAUCCAGACUCCUACGGGAGGCAGCAGUGGGGAAUAUUGGACAAUGGGCGAAAGCCUGAUCCAGCCAUGCCGCGUGUGUGAAGAAGGUCUUCGGAUUGUAAAGCACUUUAAGUUGGGAGGAAGGGCAGUAAGUUAAUACCUUGCUGUUUUGACGUUACCAACAGAAUAAGCACCGGCUAACUUCGU